CCGGCGCACGGGUGAGUAACGCGUAUGUAAUCUACCUGUAACAGAGGGAUAACCCGGAGAAAUCCGGACUGAUACCUCAUAGCACAUAUUAUUCGCAUGAAUUUUAUGUUAAAGAGACUCGGUUACAGAUGAACAUGCGUUCCAUUAGCUAGUUGGCGGGGUUACGGCCCACCAAGGCAACGAUGGAUAGGGGUUCUGAGAGGAAGGUCCCCCACACUGGUACUGAGACACGGACCAG
This 238-nucleotide ribosomal RNA is filed under the name uncultured bacterium. Its description in RNAcentral is "partial 16S ribosomal RNA". It matches the Rfam family "Bacterial small subunit ribosomal RNA", at positions 95 to 334 of the family's 1533-position model. The record is from RNAcentral.